GACGAACGCUGGCGGCGUGCUUAACACAUGCAAGUCGAACGGUAAGGCCCUUCGGGGUACACGAGUGGCGAACGGGUGAGUAACACGUGGGUGAUCUGCCCUGCACUUCGGGGUAAGCCUGGGAAACUGGGUCUAAUACCGGAUAGGACCACUGCCUGCAUGGGUGGUGGUGGAAAGCUUUUGCGGUGUGGGAUGGGCCCGCGGCCUAUCAGCUUGUUGGUGGGGUGAUGGCCUACCAAGGCGACGACGGUUAGCCGGCCUGAGAGGGUGACCGGCCACACUGGGACUGAGAUACGGCCCAGACUCCGACGGGAGGCAGCAGUGGGGAAUAUUGCACCAUGGGCGCAAGCCUGAUGCAGCGACGCCGCGUGAGGGAUGACGGCCUUCGGGUUGUAAACCUCUUUCAGCACCGACGAAGCGCAAGUGACGGUAGGUGCAGAAGAAGGACCGGCCAACUACGUGCCAGCCGCCGCGGUAA
RNAcentral lists this ribosomal RNA (478 nucleotides) under uncultured bacterium. RNAcentral describes it as "partial 16S ribosomal RNA". It matches the Rfam family "Bacterial small subunit ribosomal RNA", at positions 28 to 523 of the family's 1533-position model. The record is from RNAcentral.